GGUCGGUUUGGCCGGAUUUCACACAGGUGUUGCAUGGCUGUCGUCAGCUCGUGUCGUGAGAUGUUGGGUUAAGUCCCGCAACGAGCGCAACCCUCAUCCUUAGUUACCAUCAGGUUAUGCUGGGGACUUUAAGGAAACUGCCAGUGAUAAACUGGAGGAAGGUGGGGAUGAUGUCAAGUCAUCAUGGCCCUUAUGGAGUGGGCUACACACGUGCUACAAUGGUGAUUACAAUGGGCUGCAAGGUCGCAAGGCUGAGCUAAUCCUAAAAAAUCAUCUCGGUUCGGAUCGUUCUCUGCAACUCGAGAGCAUGAGGUUGGAAUCGCUAGUAAUCGUGGAUCGGCAUGCCACGGUGAAUACGUUCUCGGGUCUUGUACACACUGCCCGUCACGCCAUGGGAAUUGGUUUCACUCGAAGCU
Molecule: ribosomal RNA, 416 nt
Filed under: Wolbachia endosymbiont of Myzus persicae
Lineage: Bacteria; Pseudomonadati; Pseudomonadota; Alphaproteobacteria; Rickettsiales; Anaplasmataceae
Description: bacterial SSU rRNA
Rfam family: Bacterial small subunit ribosomal RNA
Source: RNAcentral